Oreochromis aureus is the source of this 274-nucleotide long non-coding RNA. NCBI's taxonomy places the organism in Eukaryota, Metazoa, Chordata, Actinopteri, Cichliformes, Cichlidae. The record is from Ensembl.
GAGAACAACGAUGGCUUCGUUUUGAGGGUAAAAUGAUGGCUGUAGAGCAAACACUGUGGACACAGCAGCAGUUGAAAGAGAAGUGUUUAAGAUGAAUAUUGGCAGAGUGAGAGAGAGCUCGUUAGGCAGGCAGGCAGGUGUGAGCCUGGUUGCUAUAGUGACUGCACCCACUGGCUCCAUACACACGCGCACAGACAUGCACCUCACUUUUGCUGCUUAAAAUGAACAGAAAAGUCAGGUCGAAACAAAUUGCUCCCAAAUGAAAAGUACAGGU